This 503-nucleotide ribosomal RNA is filed under the name uncultured bacterium. Its description in RNAcentral is "bacterial SSU rRNA". It matches the Rfam family "Bacterial small subunit ribosomal RNA", at positions 337 to 832 of the family's 1533-position model. The record is from RNAcentral.
UCCUACGGGAGGCAGCAGUAGGGAAUCUUCGGCAAUGGACGGAAGUCUGACCGAGCAACGCCGCGUGAGUGAAGAAGGUUUUCGGAUCGUAAAGCUCUGUUGUAAGAGAAGAACGAGUGUGAGAGUGGAAAGUUCACACUGUGACGGUAUCUUACCAGAAAGGGACGGCUAACUACGUGCCAGCAGCCGCGGUAAUACGUAGGUCCCGAGCGUUGUCCGGAUUUAUUGGGCGUAAAGCGAGCGCAGGCGGUUAGAUAAGUCUGAAGUUAAAGGCUGUGGCUUAACCAUAGUACGCUUUGGAAACUGUUUAACUUGAGUGCAAGAGGGGAGAGUGGAAUUCCAUGUGUAGCGGUGAAAUGCGUAGAUAUAUGGAGGAACACCGGUGGCGAAAGCGGCUCUCUGGCUUGUAACUGACGCUGAGGCUCGAAAGCGUGGGGAGCAAACAGGAUUAGAUACCCUGGUAGUCCACGCCGUAAACGAUGAGUGCUAGGUGUUAGACCCUU